AAGAAGAAACGAACUUAUAAAUAUCAAAGAUAUCAUUUGAGAUUACAUAGCAAUGGAGCAGCAAAGCUUUUGUGGUCUGAGAAGAUUUAAUGCCAAGCUCCCUGGUGCUGACCAAGGUUGGGUCUCCUAUUCCUAUUGCUGCUGCUGUUACUAAAGAUAAGCUGCACUAGCCAGAGACUGCACUGAAGCUGUACUGAUUUGGUCUUAUUGAUUGGAGAGCGAUUGAUUGGAGAGUGCAGACGUAUGCAGCAACAGGUUUGUCAGAUGUGGUGGUCAUUGCUCUUACUCCAGCUUUGCAUCCUAGAAUCAUUUGGAAGAUAUAUCUAAGAAAAAACAACUAAGACAAUUUAACACGACUGUAUUUGGAGAAAAAGUCCUUAAAGAGGCAAACUUAAAUAAGGCCAUCAGAGUGGGUCAUAGUCCAGUCAGACUGGGGUUCCUACAUGACAAGAUUAGGACACAAAGAGAGACACUGGGGACGCCCUUGAAGAGGGGAAAGACCAUGAGAAGACACAGCAAGAUGAUGGUUAUGUGCAAGCCAAGAAGCCAGGCCUCAGGAGAAACCAAACCUACAAGUAUGUUGAGCUUGAACUUCUAGCCACUACAGCUGUGAGAAAUAAAUAUCUGUUGUUUAAAUUGCCCAAUACUUUGUAUGGCAAGCCUAGCUCAUACAGAUAUAUUUUUUCUUUUAACACAGUAACUAAGACUACAAAUUCAUGAUAACUUUACAGGUGUAAUUCCAAGAUUCUCCACCCCUAACAGGCUAUUAAAAGAAUUGUAACAUAGGAUGAUGUUAAAGUAAUUCUCAUACAUUCACGAUAAUGUAUUCUUCCAUAUAAUGGGGGGUUAUUAGAUCAAGUUCUAAAGGUAAAUAUUUCCUUAGCAAUGUUGAAUGUCUUAUCUAUUGUUUCUUUUAUUAAGAUUUGUUUUCUGUAUCUCGCAGGAACAUUGUUGUUCUAGAUUUUAUAUUCAGGAUAUUGUAUUUCUGAAGCAAAAUGAUACGAAAUAUUGCCAAACAAAAUAAAAUAUAAAGAGUACUUGAACAGUAUUAUAAGAGAUAAGAUAAAGAAAGGCUACUGUUUAAAGUAGCCAAUAUUUUAAGAUAUAAUUCAGGUCCUAAAUGUUUUAUAUUACUCUCAGCAUAAAUACAUUGUCUAAACAUUUGCUUCAGGUUAAAUAUAAUUAUACAUGUUAAGUCUUUCUUGUUUAGAAACAUUAUCUCAUAUAAUUAACCAAAAUUUUACACUAAAAUUUGUAGCAUCUGUAAUAACGUUCUUCAGCAAAUUCCAUGAGGAUGGGAAUGUACUUCCAUUACUUCCCUCAGUUGUUAAGUAAACUCUUUUAGAAGAGUAAAGAAAGUGAAAAAAAAUUAUUCAUUGUGUCUGCCUAAUGAAGAAAAUUUAGUACAUUUUAUUUCACAUGUAUAACUGUUUCUUCACAGCAAAGGCAUUAUGGCUGAAAUUUUUUUUUACUUGAUAGGCAGUUUUAUUAGUUUUCAUGUAUAUAGGUAAGUGACCUGUCCUUUGUUUAAAUUGAUUUUGUUCAGAAAAAAGAAUUUCAUUCAUCUGGAUUUGCAAUGGUGGUAAAAUGAGAAAAAGUGUCCUAUAGAUUACCACAUUUUAAAUAUUUUACCUUGAAUCGUAAACACUUCACUCUAGUAGGUACUUUAGAACUCAGUUGUUAUUUGUCCUCUGAAUAUGAUAUACCUUUAUAUGAGAAACAGACUCCUAACUAUGUUUAUUUUUCAGUUUUUUUUUCUUUAAUAUCUCCUUGGAAAUAACCACAAUAAUCUGCCAUUCUAAAUAUUCACGAUCCUUCCAGUCAACAGUCACUCUUUAGGUUUAACCUUUGCUACUGGACAAAUAUUUCUUUUUGCUUAAUUGUGAUUAAUUAAGUGAUGAUAACUUCAAUUUCAAAUUGAAAUUUGACACCAAAUCAUUUUUUUUUCUUAUGGGUCUUUCCUUGGGUUCUGCAAAAUACUCUGCAACAGUCCUUCUAUUGGUCAGGCUCUCUCAGACAAUAUCCAGGCAUUUACAGAAGUUUGAAGAACAUGUUAACAUCAAUAUUAAAAACAGCAGGAGGCAGCUGAAUGCCUAGGCAGACAGGGAUGAGUCCCCAGUGAAACUCCACCUUCAAGCCAAAGUAGCCUAAAACCCACGGCCCAAAGUGAAAACUUCUAUUCCUGUUGCCUGCUUUCUCUGGAUUGGUUCUUUCUGAAUAAUGUCUUUUGACCAGUUGAAUGUUGCCUUUUCCAAAAAUACCUACAGCCUGCCCUGUCCCCAUCCUGUGCCUUUAAAUUCCCCAUACUCAGUUAGUAGAGUGGGCAGACAGUUGGACUUUGGGGAAGAGAGUUAGCUUGACUUUGGGGAAUAGACAACUGGACUUUGAGGAGAAGAUGACCUCACUUCAAGAAAGACUACCUGCCCUUCCCAUUCACUCUCCAGCUCCCCUCUCCACUGAGAGCCAUUUCCACUGCUCAGUAUGAUUCUCUGCCUUCACAAUUCUUCAAGUCCCUAUGUGAUCUCAUUCUUCUUGAACAAGGACAAGAGCUCAGGAUCCAAUAAGUGUGGGUACCCAGAAAGGCAGUCCCACCAGCCCUUUGCCCUCACCAAUGGAAGGCAGUCACCCCAUGUCACAAGGCAAGGGGCCAACUGAGCUGUUAACACACAGCCGUCGGAAGACAACGGAAUUAAAGGAGCAAUGUAACGUCCCUUUGCUGUUCUCAUGAGAGUGAAUGAUUUCUCAGGAGAUACAGUUGUUUAGAAGUGUGCGUAUGUUUAUUGCAGCAUUAUUCACAAUAGCAAAGACUUGGAACCAACCCAAAUGUCCAACAAUGAUAGACUGGAUUA
RNAcentral lists this long non-coding RNA (2849 nucleotides) under Homo sapiens (human). Its description in RNAcentral is "HSALNT0078108". The record is from RNAcentral. Lineage: Eukaryota; Metazoa; Chordata; Mammalia; Primates; Hominidae.